RNAcentral lists this long non-coding RNA (1308 nucleotides) under Heterocephalus glaber (naked mole-rat). RNAcentral's name for it is "lncRNA (ENSHGLG00000043307.1)". Lineage: Eukaryota; Metazoa; Chordata; Mammalia; Rodentia; Bathyergidae. The record is from RNAcentral.
AACAACUGAAAUUGGCUUAAAGCAGUGGGUGUGUAAGUGGCAUUUGGGUGGCUGGUGGGCUGAGCCAGGUCCCACUGCCGGUGGUCUGCACAGGGUCAGGGAAGGAUCUGGUGGGGUCUGGCUGGGCUGGGGAGGCCAGCCCUGUCCAGCCCCACAGUUGCAGGGUCUGAGCCAGUGACUGCCUGAGAAACCCCUGCCCCAAGACUGUCCUCAGAAUGCACAAAAGGGAAGGGGCCUUUGGAAUGCCCAGGCCACACCUCUGCCCAGCCCCUUCCUUCCAGAGACAGCUCCUUGGGUCCCUGAUGUCCCGCAGGCCGCAGGAGGUGGCCCAGACCCUGGCAGCCUAGCUAGAGGUAGCCGAAGAUGUUGAAAAUGGGUGGGGGCAUGGCUGGCUUGAGUGGGGAUAGGCUUCAGAACCACGGGUCUGUAGCCACCUUCUGCCCUGGGCCAUCCACGCGCUUGCAGAAGUGGGCCUGCUCUGGGGGCAAAGCUGGGCUUUUCCUCCACAGGCCAAGGCUGGGCAUGGGGCUCGGAGGCAGGGCCCCUGGAGGGCCAGGGUAGAUAGGCUGUCGAUGGUACUGGAAGGGGCAGCAGCUCCAAGCAUCAACACAGCCGACCAGGGAGACCCCGGGCAUCUUGAGUGGGCUCCUUGUCAGCUAGUGCCCUUGGGGACAUGGGCCCUGGGGCAGCCUCAGGCACCAUGGACUCCAAGCCCUUGCAAUUUUUUCUUACUCUCAUAGGGAGAUCGGCUCCCUAGGGCCCAGUCCCCCCUCCAGCCCCAUGGCGUAGCUGUGGGUGGGCCUCGGCCUCUUCCCAGAAGGAAGCAGGCAGCUGCCUCUUUCCGCAUGGGCACCUGGCCAGGCUUGGCAGCUCCUGGGCCCUGGAGGUUCUGCUCCUUGGAAAGACAUUCCUCCCCAAAGGGACUCCCCAAAGCCUCUCCCUUGCAGCCCCCACCCCCACCAGGGCUGGAAUCGGGGCCGGGAUGGAGGGCCAGCGCCGGGCCGGUCCUGGGGUCCCCUUCUCAGGUGAGGCCUCAGCUGCCCUGCCAGGAAGGCCCCUUGGGAGCCGGGGAGUACUUCAUGCGAGAAGCGCUUGAGCUGCUUCUGCAGGUACUUGCGGUGGUCCACAGAGCGGCGGUGAGGGUGCGGACUUGUCCAGGGCGGCCUUGAUGUCGCUGGACGCCAGGUUGACGAAAUUCAGCAGCAUCUUCACAUCAGUGUCGGAUGCCAUCACUAGGGACAGGCCACUGCAUGGGGCUUUCCAUGAAGAGGGUGCCUUCUGCAAGGGGCUGGCAGCUCUGAGGAGGGG